GGACAGACCGUGGGAACUGAUGCGGGCACUCCUUUUCGUGGCGCCUCGGGGGGAAUGCGCGGCUGGUGCUCCCCCCGUAGCGCUGACGCAGGAACCUGGGGGGGGCCAAGGGGGAUUUCGACCGCGCGUUUCUCUGUCCUGUCCCCGGUCAAUGCUUGGUUAGCCGGUCUGGGUCUGCGCCCUCCUCAAGCUUGAGGCCAUCAGCCUUCCGCUUGGGGAGCCGGUCCCGAGGCCUGCACCUCAAGGGAAUGGACGGGGGCCGCAACAAGCGUGGAGGCAUGGGGUUCAAUUCGACCCAAGCGGAGAACCGUACCCAGGCUUGAACAGCGAGUGACCCUCGACGGAAAGUCGACUUCGGCAAGGACACUCGUAGAGGUGCUGCAUGGCUGUCGUCAGCUCGUGUCGUGAGAUGUUGGGUUAAGUCCCGCAACGAGCGCAACCCUUGUUUGCUGUUGCCAUCAGGUUAUGCUGGGCACUCUGCAAAGACUGCCGGUGAUAAACCGGAGGAAGGUGGGGAUGACGUCAAGUCAGUAUGGCCCUUACGGCCAGGGCUGCACACGUACUACAAUGCCCGGCACAAAGGGAAGCGAGACCGUCAGGUGGAGCAAAUCCCCAAAAACCGGGCCCAGUUCAGAUUGUCGUCUGCAACUCGACGGCAUGAAGCUGGAAUCGCUAGUAAUGGCGCAUCAGCUACGGCGCCGUGAAUACGUUCCCAGGCCUUGUACACACCGCCCGUCACAUCAUGAAAGCCGUUUGUACCCGAAGUCACCCCUGAAAAGGUGCCGAAGGUAUGGAUGGUGAUUGGGAUGAAGUCGUAACAUGGUAAAUCGG
Molecule: ribosomal RNA, 831 nt
Filed under: uncultured bacterium
Lineage: Bacteria
Description: bacterial SSU rRNA
Rfam family: Bacterial small subunit ribosomal RNA (bases 214-831)
Source: RNAcentral